Molecule: RNA transcript, 4712 nt
Organism: Phyllopteryx taeniolatus (common seadragon)
Lineage: Eukaryota; Metazoa; Chordata; Actinopteri; Syngnathiformes; Syngnathidae
Gene: rps6kc1
Gene name: ribosomal protein S6 kinase polypeptide 1
Exons: 21
Source: RefSeq, a predicted model, not a curated record
AAGCGAUUUCGUCGUGGAUGUGAGGGGGAGAAAUCUGUACUCUGUAGAGUGCGAGAGCGUUUCAGUACAUCUUUCUGAAUACGUCACAGUGUCAUAGAUGUUGGUCAUAGUUUGAGGUCUCACUCCCACUCAAUUUUCGCCCCCGCUGUCACAGUGAAUGGAUGCUGCUAGCUUUCGGCAAUGUUGUUAUCAGAAUGAUAUCGCAGCGGGACAGCGGGGAUUUCGCUCGUUUUUAUACCGUCACCGACCCCACGAAGCACCGGAAAGGAUACACAGUUUACAAAGUCACCGCUCGGAUCAUUUCUCGAAACAACCCAGAGGACGUCCAAGAGGUCUUCCACUGGUUCUCCAGAUAACGGUGUGGAAAAGGUAUAGCGACUUUCGGAAACUUCACCACAACCUCUGGCAGCUGCACAAGAACGUUUGUAGCCAGUCAGAACUGUUUCCACCCUUUGCCAAGGCCAAAGUGUUUGGUCGCUUUGAUGAGGCAGUGAUUGAGGAGAGGAGACAGCGCUUGGAGGAUCUGCUGCAGUUCUCUGCGAACAUUCCCGCUCUUUACAGCAGUCAGCACAUCCAGGAGUUCUUCAAGGGAGGCGAAGUCCACGACGGCUCGGAGCUCAUCGGACCGUUGUCCGAGCCCUUUUGCGAAUUCCUGACCGACGGUUUGUCCGGCCGCAGCUCGGACGUUGAAAGAGACCUCGGUUGUGGUGAAGAUUUGACUAUCACAUCAGAGUAUGGAGGCCCGUCCAGUGACAGCAGCGACUUGAACUCGCUGGCCGUGGACACCGACUCUUUGGCCGAGCUAGACGAUGGCAUGGCCUCGGGCCGCACGUCCCCGAACCACCCGCACGGGGGCGCCGCCAGCGUCGGCAGCAGCAGCAGCAGCAGCAGUCCCCGCUUGCCCUCCCUGCACGAUCGCCGCGGCGCCCCGUCGCCCGCCCCCGCUCCCGGUUCCCCGGCCCCGAAACCGGAGGUCAGCCGGCCCGGCCGCGCGUCGCUGUUCUCCAAGAAAGCCGCUGGCCUCAAGGAGAAGCUGAAGGCGGACUACCUGGACAAAGCCGGCGAAAUUAUCCGUGUGGCGGUGCAGAAGGAGAAGGAUCAGGACUACCAGGCGGCGUUCGCCUUCUACCGCAGCGGAGUGGACCUGCUCCUUCAAGGUGUUCAAGGCGAGCCAAGCCCCACGCGGCGAGAGGCAGUGAAGAAGAAGACCGCUGAGUACCUGAUGCGAGCAGAGCAAAUAUCCAGCCAGCAUCUUCACAGCAACAUGGGCCAAGGAUCUACACAAACAGCGCAGGUGAUGGGGGCGCAGUGCUGCGCAUCCACCAACAGAGGGAGCCAGCAAAGUCUUUCCGACGAUCUCGGCGCUUACAGGGUGGUGGGCGUCAUCGAUAAGGUUCUUUUGGUCACGGACAAGAGAACACGAGAGAUGUUCGUCGUGAAAGGUCUGAGGAAGAGCAGUGACUGCGGCCGACUGAAGAAAACCAUCACGCCUCGCUCCGUGCCCCACAUGGUGCAGCUCAAGAAGCUCAUCGACUCCGAGGACACCGUCUUCCUCCUGCUGCAGCACGCCGAGGGUGGUAAGCUGUGGUCCCACAUUGGGAAGUACCUGCGGAAUUCCAGUCCAGACGAGAGCUUUGACAUUCCUUUCAUCCAGAAGAGCCAUACAUUAGCCGUGCAUACGCCACAAUAUGGCGUGAAUUCAGCUAGUUCCAACUGUGGGCCUGUCGCUGGUUGGGAUUCUGUGCCACAUGUAAACAAGGAAGUCAAAGACCCGGCUGCUGCCUCCUCACGUAAAAGCGGCCUCCUCGCCAGGCUUGGCAAAAAAGCGGCAGCCCACUCAGACUCCGGCGCCACCUCUGAGGAAGAGUGCACCAACAGUUAUUUAACACUUUGCAACGAGUACGAGCGGGAGAAAGUGGAGCCGGACGCGCUGGAGGAGGACAACGAGGCGAGGAGCGAGCAGGAAGCGUCGUUCGACGUGCCGAACGGGGCGGCCGCCGCCGCCUCGCGGAGCCGCUCGCUUCUCAGCAACGACAGUCUGGCGUCGCCCGUCAGCUGCCAGGAGCUCGGCUUUUUCGCCGACUCGCCUGACAAGAGGCGAGACGGUGAGGGGCGAGACUACGGCGACGUGCUACACGCGCCGCUGUCUCUGGAUCAGUCCAAGCGCACGCCCAUGGAGUUUUUCCGCAUCGACAGCAAAGACAGCGCGAGCGAGGUGACCUGCCUCGACUGGAGGGAGCAGCAGCAGCAGCCGCAGCCCCCCUCCCAUAAACAGCCCCCCCUCUUUUCCGCAUCCGAGGUCGUCGAGGAGUUUCAAGAGCUGGCUCCGGAGGUCGAGGGCCACAGUGCUCACCUUUGGGGGUUAGAUUAUUGCGAUAAAGGUUCCAAUGAGUCAGUGCCGGUCAUUUCUUUUAAAGAGGCGGUAGUGGAAGAUGAGGGUCAUCCGCCGGACCUCUUGGUCAAUCUGCCCGUAACGAGCGUGGCCGCAGACUCUCAACAAGCGGAAUUGGAAACUUCCAUGCUGUGUCUGGGCCUCGAGGUCGCGACCUCUCCUCAAAGGUCCAUCAAGCCGGAUGUUUUACAGCUCCCCGGCCAGCUGGGGGGAGAGGAAGGACGGCAGCCUUCAUCUUUGUGUGCAGCCUCUGCAAAUCGUGACCCCGGUGUUGCGUCUUCAUCCGUCUUGACCUCACUCUGGGACGACUACAGCUUGACAUUUGGACAAGAAGACAAAGAAAAAAUGUCAGUUGAACCUCCAUGCCACCAUAGUGACUCUUUGCUCAGCCCAGGCCAUCCGGUGGCCUCCUCCCUUUGUGAAAAAGCAAUACACACAGAUGCGAUUGCAAACGUUGAACCGCAAGCUCGUGAGAAAUCGCUGGCGUUCGACGCGGAGUCGGCAGCAGUUUCGCCUGACAGAGUUAAAUUCGACAAAGACGUAUCGCGGCUGUUUGCGGAGCUGGAUGAGAUGUCGCUGGCCGCAUCCCGGGCUCGUAUUCCCGAGGCGUUUGUCCGAUGCUGGGCCGUCGAGCUCGUGACUGCGCUGGAUUCUCUGCACCGAGAGGGCAUCAUCUGUCGAGACCUCAAUCCCAACAACAUCCUCCUAGAUCGCCAAGGUCACGUUCAUCUAACUUACUUCUGUAGCUGGAGUGAUGUGGAGGAGUCUUGUGACGAAGAGGCCAGCGCUAACAUGUACUGCGCACCAGAGGUGGGAGGCAUUGGCGAGGAGACGGCUGCGUGCGAUUGGUGGAGUUUGGGCGCCAUCCUGUUUGAGCUGCUGACAAGCACGAUCGUGUGUGUGUGUGUGUGUGUGUGUGUGUUUUGUUGUUGUUUGUGCGAGCGAGGUGCGUCUUGGCUGCCGCCUCUCGCACUGGUUCUCCGGGAGUGCCAGGGGUGUCCGUGUGACUUUCUCCCCCAGCUUGAGCUCCAUCUGCCGGGCCACGGGGUCAGGCCUCCGCGGGCCUCUUUCCUGGCUCCUGGCGCACCGCCGGGCUCCCGGAGCAGCGGCUCAAGCCUUACGUCGGCAUCGAAGUCGCUGCUCCAGUGCCAUCCAGCAGGAAUCGGACGCCACACGGCACUCAACAUCCCCGAGUCGCUGUCGGAGGAAGCCAGAUCGCUGCUGGAACAGUUGCUGCAGUACAACCCCGCAGAGCGACUGGGCGCAGGAGUGGCCGGCGUGGACGACAUCAAAUCGCACCCCUUCUUUGCCAAAGUGGACUGGACCAAGUAGAUGCUGCUCAGCCCUUCCAGAGAUGCAUGCUGGGAAACUGGCCAUCACUGUUACACUCCAGUGUAGGACACAGCGAGCCAAGGUGCGCAUUUGUGCGAGUGUCUUUGCCGCAGGGAAGCGUCCGUCUGCUCCGAGGCAAGAUGGAGAGGACACGCCAAGGACUCGCAUGAUGCAACACUUCUCAUGCAGGUCAGCCACAGCACCUGAAUGCAAACUGGAUUUCGUCCAACCCAAUCAGACCCCGUUUGAGAUCUCGCUUCCUCGCUGUGGAAAAGGCGCGGGGAGAAAAAGACAGCCGCAAUGUAUGCGCAGCACUGAAGACGAAGAUGGUCUUUGACUUCCCGUGGAAAUUUUUGCUGGACACUUUUCAGAGAUUUACUGGCGAUUUUCCACCCUUUUGCAACUGCACCAAGGAGCAAAACAAAACCCCCCCACAGAUGCCUCCUUACAGGUGCAGGCGGGACCCGGAUGUCGAGGCCGCCGUUUGCGCUCAGGAUAAGCGGAGUCCGGUCCCGAGGCCUCCGGAGGCCGUCGCCGCUUCCUGGCGCUCUUUGUAAACGGGAGGAACAGUGGCCACCGCGGGCGCGAGAUCAAACGGCGUCCGUUGUCUUUGCUGAGUCAGGCGCAAGGAGAAGCGGGGGAAACACGCGGGAGCCAUUGAAGUUGCCGCAAAAUGACGAGCGAGCGGCGACGGCGGGGUGACGCGAGGCGGCGCGUCGGAGCUCAGGUGACCCUUUGACGUACGGUCAACCCCGGUUCAUCGCAAGUGUUUCGUUCUACAUCCACCUGCAAGAGGUGAAAAUCUGCAAUGUAUAGAUUUAUUUAUCAUAUAACAUCACUUUGAGGAAACAAAAAGAAGACUCGCUCGCACCGUUCUCCAAACAAGAGGGAAAGUGUGCUUGAUAUUUGAUGAAUUGAUAUUUAUUUCAUUCUCUACCAUUUAUUUCAUUGUGUCAUGUUUUGAUAUGUAAUAAAGAGUUUCAAUUUU